Molecule: long non-coding RNA, 1073 nt
Filed under: Equus caballus (horse)
Lineage: Eukaryota; Metazoa; Chordata; Mammalia; Perissodactyla; Equidae
Description: lncRNA (ENSECAG00000050602.1)
Source: RNAcentral
CCUGCUACGGCAACUCUCUUCCACACAGAUGUUCAGGAGUUCCGUCUUUAAGGUCAGGCCUUUUUACUUCUCUAAUCACGGAGACUUGAAGGGCAUCAUCAUAAUUAACGCUUACCGCUCCUGCCCUGUGCCAACAAUUGGAACCAGCUGACUCUAGAGACUCGGCAGGAAGCCGCUAUCCAGUGUGACAUCAGAGACCCUCUACAGCCCAUCGCCACGUGUCUGCAGUCCUGUCAUCAUCGCUCCUUCUAGGCUGAGACACUGAACACCGCUUUUUAAAUGCAAACUUCAUAUAAUUCAAAUGUUCAUCAGUCGGGACCCUUGGUCCCACGUAACAGAAAACCUGAGUCAGGCAGUUUUCAGUUAAAGGAAUUGUAACAUCUGAUGACUAAGAAGAGCAAGGAGGGGUUGUUAGUUUCAGGCACAGCUGGAUCCAGACGCUCAAAGGAUGCCAUCAGGUCCUGACUAACGUCUCCUGGGCUCUGGGCUCGUCCCCUCCCUCUUGGGUCCAUUAUUAGAGAGAAUCUCCUGUCACGGCUGCAGGACAGACGAGUCCAGUAGAAAAGAGUCUCUGUGCACCCCCAGAAGCCACAGCAACAGUGUCCUCGCAUCUCAUUGGUCCUGAGUGUGUCACCCACCCGUCUGCAAACCAGAGCUGCCAGGAAAGGAAAGCCCUAGGAUCUCAGUCCGCCUGACACAGAGGGCUGGUCAAGCCACGUGGGUGAGAGUGGGGGGUGGUUUCCCAGGGAAAUUGGGGUUUGGUCACCAAAAGGUGGUGAGAUGGAUUCUGGGUAGCCACAAAAAUGAAUGCACAUUACAAAACUCAUAUUCAUUAAAGAGGUUUAUAAACUGAAGUGGGAUGCACAGAAACAAUGUUUCACAUCCUUCUGUCUGAAGGUGAAACCCGGGAACCUAUUUCCCAGGGCUGACUCCUCAGAUUAGGUACCUGUGACGCUGGAAGGAGGAAUCCCCUUAGUGCCGGGACACAGAGAAGGAAAGUCUGCCCCGUGGAAAGAAAUGAGAAGGUCCUCAGGUGGAGUAGUGACCCAGACAGGAAGGUGCCAGGGAAUAGC